This 497-nucleotide ribosomal RNA is filed under the name uncultured bacterium. RNAcentral's name for it is "partial 16S ribosomal RNA". It matches the Rfam family "Bacterial small subunit ribosomal RNA", at positions 28 to 507 of the family's 1533-position model. The record is from RNAcentral.
GAUGAACGCUGGCGGCGUGCCUAAUACAUGCAAGUCGAGCGAACGGACGAGAAGCUUGCUUCUCUGAUGUUAGCGGCGGACGGGUGAGUAACACGUGGAUAACCUACCUAUAAGACUGGGAUAACUUCGGGAAACCGUAGCUAAUACCGGAUAAUAUUUUGAACCUCAUGGUUCAAAAGUGAAAGACGGUCUUGCUGUCACUUAUAGAUGGAUCCGCGCUGCAUUAGCUAGUUGGUAAGGUAACGGCUUACCAAGGCAACGAUGCAUAGCCGACCUGAGAGGGUGAUCGGCCACACUGGAACUGAGACAAGGUCCAGACUACUACGGGAGGAAGCAGUAGGGAAUCUUCCGCAAUGGGCGACAGCCUGACGGUGCAACGCCGCGUGAGGGAUGAAGGUCUUCGGAUCGUAAAAAUCUGUUAUUAGGGAAGAACAUAUGUGUAAGUAACUGUGCACAUCUUGACGGUACCUAAACAGAAAGCCACGGCUAACUACGUG